Molecule: RNA transcript, 1999 nt
Organism: Musca domestica (house fly)
Lineage: Eukaryota; Metazoa; Arthropoda; Insecta; Diptera; Muscidae
Gene: Creld
Gene name: cysteine-rich with EGF-like domain protein 2
Exons: 5
Source: RefSeq, a predicted model, not a curated record
UUGGUUGGCUCUGUACUCUGAAGAACAAAAUGGAAAAAACUCUAGGUAAAACCACGUAAACCCUCUUCACUUCAGCAGAGAUUAUCAAUUAAAAGCAGAGAAAAGAUAAAUAAAAGUCAGACCCAUCAUUUGUCAACAUAACACGCAAGCAAACGUCAUUGGAAUAUUUGCGUGAACAUGAAAAGUCUUCCGGAAAUAUUGCUAUUGACAGCUGUUGCUGUUGUGGUCAUCAGUGCCGAUGAUCCCUUGAAUCCAAAGGAACAGAAGGAGAAGGCUACCAAUUUGCCACCAUGCAAAGCAUGUUCCACAUUGGCAGCUUCGUUCAAAUUGGGAAUGGAUAAUACUAGCCGUGGCAAACAUGCUGGCGGUGAUGCUGCUUGGGAGGAAGAAAAAUUGCGUUCAUAUAAAACAAGUGAGGUGCGUUUGGUGGAAAUACAGGAAAAUCUUUGCCAAGAAGUGCGACGAGGUCAAACUCAAUGUCACAACAUGGCCAAUGAUCAUGAACAUCUGCUGGAGGAGUGGUUUACUCACAAACAGACUGAAGAACCCGAUGUCCACAAAUGGUUGUGUAUAGACCAACUAAAAGUUUGUUGUCCUGAGGGACAUUAUGGUGCAGAAUGUAAACAGUGUACCGAUUGCCAUGGCAAUGGCAAGUGUAAAGGUGAUGGCACCCGCAAAGGAAAUGGUAAAUGUAAUUGUGAUGCUGGCUAUGCUGGCGAUGAUUGUAAUCAAUGUGCCAAUGGUUAUUAUGAAGCGUUCCGCGACGAGAAGAAGCUGCUGUGUUCGGCAUGCCACAAAGCGUGUACGAAGGAUGGCGGAUGCAAGGGUGCUGGACCAAAAGCUUGCACAAAAUGCAAUGAAGGUUGGCGUUGGGAUGCCACAAAUGGUUGCCAAGACAUCAAUGAAUGUCUCGAUAGCCCCAGAACCUGCCGGCCAAAUCAAUUUUGUGUUAACAAUGAAGGAACCUAUUCCUGUUUAGAAUGUGAUCGUUCGUGUGAAGGAUGCGAUGGUGAUGGUCCGGAUAUGUGUAAAAAAUGUGCCUCCGGUUAUACACUGAAGGAUGGAAAGUGUACUGACGAUUCGAAUGAGAAACGUGAUCAAUAUGUGAACAUAACACGUUUUCUAACAUAUUUCGGUCUGUGUGUGGCCACUUGUGUUAUAUUUCAAAGUUCAACGCACAUUGCCUACAUUGUUGGAGCAGCUGUGGCAAUUUAUAUUGCCGCUUCGGAAUAUUGGCUUAGUUCCACGCCAGCCGGUGCAAAUAAGCCACAAAUCGAUACUAAACAAUUGGAAGAAAUGCUAAUGAAAUCAUUGUAAGAGGAAGGCCAAAGAAUAAGAAUAUAACUACAAGCAGCAUCCAUUCCAUUUGUAUCCAUUUGUUUUGCCUAGAAAAUUUAUACACCAUAAUAUUUUUAAACUACAAUUAAGUGUUCAAACAUAACUACUUUUUUUUUUUUUAAUUUGCUAAAGCCGCAACGUAAAAUGAAGCAAACAUGAUUAGAGAACAGAGCAGCAUCAGCGUUUAUUCUGUGAAUAAAUGAAAGCACAAAACCAUGACCAUAAUGGAAUGCCUUUUACAAGAAAAAUAUACGAGGAUGAUUCUUUAGAUGAGGAAGAAAACCACGAUGAUGAUGACGACACAUAUACGCAAAUAGAAGCUCCUCAUCUUAAAGAUGAAUUAUGAUUAAUUUAGACCAUAAAGAGUAUAUACAAACAAAUAUGUACGUUUAGAAUAGCACAAUUAGACAUUUGAAAAUCACCUCUUGUCCAAUCAACCAAGGAACCACUUCCAUGAUUAUUUAAAUUAAGCUACCAUUAAGACAACAAAAGUACCAUGCACUGUGUUAAUUGUAUAAGUUAGCCAAAAAGAAAAUUAAACAACCUAAGUCAAAACAAGCAAAACCAUAAAACAUCGAUACAACAUGGAUUUCAAUUAUUUAUUAUAAUUUGUAAUUCUGUUCAAAUCAUUUUUUUAAAAAUAAAUUUAGAAAAAAAUUUA